UAGACCUGAGGUCAGGCAAGACCACCCGCUGAACUUAA
RNAcentral lists this ribosomal RNA (38 nucleotides) under Asterochloris sejongensis. RNAcentral describes it as "partial 26S ribosomal RNA". The record is from RNAcentral. Lineage: Eukaryota; Viridiplantae; Chlorophyta; Trebouxiophyceae; Trebouxiales; Trebouxiaceae.